Molecule: ribosomal RNA, 363 nt
Filed under: uncultured bacterium
Lineage: Bacteria
Description: bacterial SSU rRNA
Rfam family: Bacterial small subunit ribosomal RNA
Source: RNAcentral
AUUGAACGCUGGCGGCAUGCCUUACACAUGCAAGUCGAACGGUAACAGGCCGCAAGGUGCUGACGAGUGGCGAACGGGUGAGUAAUGUAUCGGAACGUGCCCAGUCGUGGGGGAUAACUGCUCGAAAGAGCAGCUAAUACCGCAUACGACCUGAGGGUGAAAGCGGGGGAUCGCAAGACCUCGCGCGAUUGGAGCGGCCGAUAUCAGAUUAGGUAGUUGGUGGGGUAAAGGCCCACCAAGCCAACGAUCUGUAGCUGGUCUGAGAGGAAGACCAGCCACACUGGGACUGAGACACGGCCCAGACUCCUACGGGAGGCAGCAGUGGGGAAUUUUGGACAAUGGACGCAAGUCUGAUCCAGCCAU